Molecule: ribosomal RNA, 253 nt
Filed under: uncultured bacterium
Lineage: Bacteria
Description: partial 16S ribosomal RNA
Rfam family: Bacterial small subunit ribosomal RNA
Source: RNAcentral
UACGGAGGGUGCAAGCGUUGUCCGGAUUUAUUGGGUUUAAAGGGUGCGUAGGCGGCUAAUUAAGUCAGCGGUGAAAUUCCACAGCUCAACUGUGGAACUGCCAUUGAUACUGGUUGGCUUGAGUACAGAUGAGGUAGGCGGAAUUGACAGUGUAGCGGUGAAAUGCUUAGAUAUUGUCAAGAACACCUAUUGCGAAGGCAGCUUACUAAGCUGUAACUGACGCUGAGGUACGAAAGCGUGGGGAUCAAACAGG